This 1026-nucleotide ribosomal RNA is filed under the name Aureobasidium pullulans. RNAcentral describes it as "SSU rRNA". It matches the Rfam family "Eukaryotic small subunit ribosomal RNA", at positions 72 to 1106 of the family's 1831-position model. The record is from RNAcentral. Lineage: Eukaryota; Fungi; Ascomycota; Dothideomycetes; Dothideales; Saccotheciaceae.
AACUAUACGGUGAAACUGCGAAUGGCUCAUUAAAUCAGUUAUCGUUUAUUUGAUAGUACCUUACUACUUGGAUAACCGUGGUAAUUCUAGAGCUAAUACAUGCUAAAAACCCCAACUUCGGAAGGGGUGUAUUUAUUAGAUAAAAAACCAACGCCCUUCGGGGCUCCUUGGUGAUUCAUAAUAACUAAACGAAUCGCAUGGCCUUGCGCCGGCGAUGGUUCAUUCAAAUUUCUGCCCUAUCAACUUUCGAUGGUAGGAUAGUGGCCUACCAUGGUAUCAACGGGUAACGGGGAAUUAGGGUUCUAUUCCGGAGAGGGAGCCUGAGAAACGGCUACCACAUCCAAGGAAGGCAGCAGGCGCGCAAAUUACCCAAUCCCGACACGGGGAGGUAGUGACAAUAAAUACUGAUACAGGGCUCUUUUGGGUCUUGUAAUUGGAAUGAGUACAAUUUAAAUCCCUUAACGAGGAACAAUUGGAGGGCAAGUCUGGUGCCAGCAGCCGCGGUAAUUCCAGCUCCAAUAGCGUAUAUUAAAGUUGUUGCAGUUAAAAAGCUCGUAGUUGAACCUUGGGCCUGGCUGGCCGGUCCGCCUCACCGCGUGUACUGGUCCGGCCGGGCCUUUCCUUCUGGGGAGCCGCAUGCCCUUCACUGGGCGUGUCGGGGAACCAGGACUUUUACUUUGAAAAAAUUAGAGUGUUCAAAGCAGGCCUUUGCUCGAAUACAUUAGCAUGGAAUAAUAGAAUAGGACGUGCGGUUCUAUUUUGUUGGUUUCUAGGACCGCCGUAAUGAUUAAUAGGGAUAGUCGGGGGCAUCAGUAUUCAAUUGUCAGAGGUGAAAUUCUUGGAUUUAUUGAAGACUAACUACUGCGAAAGCAUUUGCCAAGGAUGUUUUCAUUAAUCAGUGAACGAAAGUUAGGGGAUCGAAGACGAUCAGAUACCGUCGUAGUCUUAACCAUAAACUAUGCCGACUAGGGAUCGGGCGAUGUUAUCAUUUUGACUCGCUCGGCACCUUACGAGAAAUCAAAGUCU